This 67-nucleotide transfer RNA is filed under the name Ampulex compressa. Its description in RNAcentral is "tRNA-Leu". The record is from RNAcentral. Lineage: Eukaryota; Metazoa; Arthropoda; Insecta; Hymenoptera; Ampulicidae.
ACUACUUUGGCAGAUAAGUGUAUUAAAUUUAGAAUUUAACCAUAAAUUAAUUUUAAUUUAAGUAGUA